GAUAGAAGAAGUGAAAGUGGCAGCAGAAGUAUAGCCUUUGGUGGUAUAUGUAGUUAGAGCAUUAAAUGCAGGUAUCUCGAUAGGUUGAAGAGGAUCUCUUUUAGAACAUACAGAAGUAUGGGUGAAAAUAGACAAGAAAAGUUUAUAUAUGGGUCACCUCGUUCAUUUCCUCUUUCUCAAUAUUUUCAUCAAUUGGGGACUCUACACGCAC
Molecule: long non-coding RNA, 211 nt
Filed under: Gossypium barbadense (sea-island cotton)
Lineage: Eukaryota; Viridiplantae; Streptophyta; Magnoliopsida; Malvales; Malvaceae
Description: long non-coding RNA (GBAR_LNC017920)
Source: RNAcentral